GGAGUGACUGGUAUGGUAUGUCAGGGCUUUGCAUGAGGUAAGAGUGAAAGGAGAAAGAAAAGGUGUAAGAGAAAAUAUAAAUUAGAAAAGAAACAGGAUUGGAAAGUGGAGGAAAAAGAAAGAUGAAAAAUUAAGAUCUAAGACAACUGAAAAGAAUGAACUAAUAUAGUUUUAAUAUAGCAGAUGGAGAACUGACAACGCAUGACUGCACAGCUGUGCUCAGGGCCACGUGUGUGCGGCCACGACUCCGGUCCUGCAUCAGGAAGCGGAAGAGGGAAGAUCUGGAUGGGACUGAAGCGGAUGAGAUGAAGAAUCUCUCGAGUGGAAGAAUACACAAUCCCUCCAAUGACCUCCGACGGCUGCACAUAAGGUAUGGCGUCAGACCAUGGGUGACCAGCCAGAGAGCACGCCGGGCCUUCGAGACAGCCACCAAGAGUCUGACUGACACAGAAGUAUCUUGCAAUAUAUCAGAAGUAAACAUUACUGCGUGAAGCGGGCGGACAACGCAGUGAGGGCUAGUCAGCUCCUGGAUUCGCUGGCUGGUCAGUCAACCACUGAUCCUUCAGAAGGGGAAUCCAGCCUGUAGCAUUGCUCGCGGUGCUGCCCAGCAGAAAGCAGACACGACGGAUCUGCAAACGGAUCUUGAGGCAGCGUACGGCCGACUUGUCGAACAGCACCCGGUGACUCUGGGGGGUGAGGCGCCAGAUAAGACUCUGCGUGCUGAAAUCUCAGCUAGCUUUCAGCGGAAGCUGUACGAGCGAUUGUUUGAAGGCACAGAUGAAACUGCACAAGCAGCAUAUUCACUUUAUUCACAAUGAGGAAAAGGUCAGCAAGUGGAGGACCAACAUACCCAGUGCAGCCCAGUUCGUGAAGAAUGGAAGCCCCCUGGAUCCAUGGACACAGCAAUGGACGCUAAACAAAGCCGGACACGCACCAGGACCCAGAAGUGAAAGGACUUCUUGUGACAGAAGAUGAAGGGCAAGGGCAUUAUUGCAACGUAAAGAUUUCUGGCUGUCGAGGUGGUGUGUGACCAUCACGGGCAGGUCAUGACAGCCUCAGAGGGACACAGCGCUCACAGCACUGUUUGCUGAGCGCAACAUUGUCCACUGCUUGCGGUGCAAGAAGCCACAGAAGCAUCUCGCUGGCCACCUGCUAGAGUGUGUAUGAAAGACAGCACAGCAGAAGAAAGGCCAAGGUAUCUUCCAGACGGUGUAUCUGCAGGAACAGGACCUGGGACUACCGCCAGCUUUGUUCUAUCCUGCCCCACAGUCCGUGUGCUUCUUUACUGGUGGAAGAGUUUCAGAGGCGUGGGUUCUUUAUCACCAACAUGCCACAAGAGUCAGACAUGGCUAUGGACUCCGGUGAUGCCGCCUCCUCACAACAGGGUUCGCCUUCUGAUCAGAGAAAUGGAUAUGGUGAGUGUUCGCACCCUGGCACUGUACCAGGCCAUUUUGGAGGUAGCCAGGAUCGACUUCCUGAUAAUCUUUCGGAAGCUGGUCUCAAGCACAGAGGUCCUCUCGACAGAGGAGACCGGCUAUCUCCGCUACUGCACGUCACUUUUGGUGUCGCGUCACUUUCAGUGCCCGGCAGCUGCGCAAGGCCUGACCAGCGGGUCAACAGGAAGGAAGUUGACGACAGGGUGGUGAUUGGCUUCGGCCGAGACAGAACGAUGCAGCAGGCUGCCUGUUUUGCCUUUAAAUUUCCCUAACUUUCUUGUUAUUUUAGUAACGAGGGGAGAAGUUGUUAUUGCUUAAAUGAUGGUUUUGCUAUUUGUAAUUUACCUUACAACCUAAAAGAAAAAAUAAAAACAAAACACUGCUUGUAAACCUGUUGAUUUCG
Long non-coding RNA from Ictalurus punctatus (channel catfish), 1839 nucleotides. The record is from Ensembl. NCBI's taxonomy places the organism in Eukaryota, Metazoa, Chordata, Actinopteri, Siluriformes, Ictaluridae.